This 251-nucleotide ribosomal RNA is filed under the name uncultured bacterium. RNAcentral's name for it is "partial 16S ribosomal RNA". It matches the Rfam family "Bacterial small subunit ribosomal RNA", at positions 333 to 600 of the family's 1533-position model. The record is from RNAcentral.
UUUGCCCUACGGGGCGCAGCAGUGGGGAAUAUUGCACAAUGGGGGAAACCCUGAUGCAGCGACGCCGCGUGAGUGAAGAAGUAUUUCGGUAUGUAAAGCUCUAUCAGCAGGAACGAGACAAGACGGUACCUGACUAAGAGGCCCCGGCUAACUACGUGCCAGCAGCCGCGGUAAUACGUAGGGGGCAAGCGUUAUCCGGAAUCACUGGGCGUAAAGGGAGCGUAGACGGCUGAGCAAGCCUGAAGUGAAAG